RNAcentral lists this long non-coding RNA (340 nucleotides) under Capsella rubella. RNAcentral describes it as "long non-coding RNA (CRUB_LNC002692)". The record is from RNAcentral. Lineage: Eukaryota; Viridiplantae; Streptophyta; Magnoliopsida; Brassicales; Brassicaceae.
CGUCACUAUGUCAGGGACGGGGAUUGAGAAGGAUCCUGUAGAAGACUACGCGCAACGUGUAUGGUUCGAAGCCCCUGAUGAGAAGUAUGAGUGUGAGUUUGACAUGCCUGAAGACUUUGGAACCAUUGGUGCCAUAAGAGUUCAAAACCAGUACCAUAGACAGUUGUUCCUCAAGAAGAUGGAGAUUGAGUUACCUGACGGGACUGUUACGUUUACAUGUGAAUCAUGGGUGGCCUCUAAGACUGUUGACCCAGCCAAGAGAGUAUUCUUCUCAACCAAGUCCUACUUGCCAUCCGAAACCCCGGAGCCUCUUAUACAGCUUCGAAAGAAAGAGCUAGAG